GCAGCACCCUCUGUCAUCCCACUGAUCUCCAGGGCUGACUGGGCUGAUCUAGUUGGCUAGGCAGGUGUUCC
Molecule: small RNA, 71 nt
Filed under: Mesocricetus auratus (golden hamster)
Lineage: Eukaryota; Metazoa; Chordata; Mammalia; Rodentia; Cricetidae
Description: 7SK RNA (ENSMAUG00000005880.1)
Rfam family: 7SK RNA
About the family: 7SK was discovered as an abundant small nuclear RNA in the mid-70s but a possible function has only recently been suggested. Two independent studies have found that 7SK RNA binds the CDK9/cyclin T complex (known as elongation factor P-TEFb).
Source: RNAcentral